UUAACGGUCCUUUUAAGGACCACAAUAUUUUCAUAAACUUAGCG
Non-coding RNA from Nasonia vitripennis (jewel wasp), 44 nucleotides. The record is from Rfam. NCBI's taxonomy places the organism in Eukaryota, Metazoa, Arthropoda, Insecta, Hymenoptera, Pteromalidae.